This 161-nucleotide non-coding RNA is filed under the name bovine gut metagenome. RNAcentral's name for it is "Lysine riboswitch". It matches the Rfam family "Lysine riboswitch aptamer". From Rfam's summary of the family: Riboswitches are metabolite binding domains within certain messenger RNAs that serve as precision sensors for their corresponding targets. Allosteric rearrangement of mRNA structure is mediated by ligand binding, and this results in modulation of gene expression. The record is from RNAcentral.
AACGAUAGAGGCGCAUGGUAUCAUCAGUAACAGUGCGAAUGAGGUCUGCCGAGGGCCGCGCUGCGAAAGGGGUAUAUGCCGAAGAGGUGGUUUGGCAUCCACGCUCUGGGAGCCGGAAAUAAUAUUUCGGCUACUGUCGCAGAAAUGCGGAGUGCUAUCAU